AGGUAAUGUCUCCUAACCUCUAUCAAUGGGGGCACUCGAUCCCGCUGUGGGUGCAGCUAAAGCUGGACACCUUAGACGCCUGUCGUCGGUGGUGGGAUGUGAGGAGGGGUUAGAUGCCCU
Pontibacillus marinus BH030004 = DSM 16465 is the source of this 120-nucleotide regulatory RNA element. It matches the Rfam family "epsC RNA". The record is from Rfam. NCBI's taxonomy places the organism in Bacteria, Bacillati, Bacillota, Bacilli, Caryophanales, Bacillaceae.